AAUAAAUAACAACAUUUAGCACAAAUGAUUAUACUCAAAUGUCAAGGUAUCUAAUUUACUCUUUAAUUAAUCUCAUUCUCAUUCUCCUGCUUGUUUACUUAGUUAACUCAUGAUCAUAACUUACUCUUCCCUUGUUGAAACAUUGAGUAUCAAUUGAUAAUAUAAUAAGUUCUUAACUCUUAUAACUUACCUGCGCUUGCCAUUUAUGCUUUUAACUGAACUUUCAUGAACAUGAUUCAUUUAUUAGCCCGUUGAGCUUCAUUAGAAUAAUAAGGAUACUCGGGUCUCUUAUGAUAAUAACAUGCCAAAGCCAUGUCCCAGACAUGGUCUUACAUGGGAUGUUCUCAUGUCGGUGCCUAUACCAUGUCCCACACAUGGUCUUACAUGGGACCUCUCAUCUCGGUGCCAAUGCCAUGUCCCAAACAUGGUCUUACAUGAGACCUUUCUACCCAAUGUCAUGACAUUCGUAUCCAGUACCAUCCUUAUGUAUCAACGGGAUUUUUUAAUUUUAAUUCUCUAUCAUUUCAUGCUUGGAUCAUCAUCAAAUAAAUUCAUAGUUGCUGGAAAAUAGCAGCAUUAAUAAUAAUUAUUGAAAUAUUGCAUUUAUUUACUGUAAACUUACAUUGGUACCAAAUAUAGCCCAAUUCACCAACUUAGUUUUCAACUUUAUUCUUCCCUUUGUCUAACCUUGAGUUUCGUUCUUUUUUUAUCUAAAAUAAAAAAAUUAACUCAUUUAAUGCUAACACUUAUCAAAACAGCCCUCGACUCUAACUUUGUCAAAAUUAUGAUUUAGCCCCUAAACUUUUACAUAAUUACAUUUUUCCCCAAGGCUCGGAAAUUAAACUUCAUCUCAUAUUCUUAUGUUUUAUAACAUGCUGAACAUUUUUCUCUUCUAUGACAACAUCAAAUUCUCACUCUAACAUGCAGUUGUGAACAUUAGGUAUUUUACCGAUUAUGGAGUUUUACUCGUUUUCGCUUAAAAUCGACUAGCAAAAAUUGUUUAACAUAAUUUCUACCUUCAUAUUCUACCUUAAAACAUCAAAAUAAACACUUUUCACCUAUGGGUAUUUUUCCAAAUAUAAACCCUAAGUUAAAUUAUUGCUAGAAUAAGCUAAAUUUAGCUACCGGGAUCUCAAAAACGUAAAGAACAUUAAAAACGGGGCUUGGAAUCACUUACUAUGGAGAUUGGAACCUUGAAAACCCUAAAUAUGGCUUCCCCCUUGCUGAUUUCGUUCACCAUGGAGAAGAAGAUAUUUUUGGCCAUCUUUUUCCCUUUUUAAUUCUUUUUAUUACUUGAUUACCAAAUUGCCCCUAACUUAAAAAUUUCCUAUUUCACUUAUCUCAUGUCCAUUUUUGUCUACCAACUUAACCAAUGGUCUAAUUACCAUAUAAGGACCUCCAAUUUAAAGUUUCAUAAUUGGACACCUCUAACAUGUAGAACUCAACUUUUGCACUUUUUACAAUUUAGUCCUUUUGACUAAAUUGAGUGCCCAAACGUCUAAAUUUUCGAACAAAAUUUUCACGAAGUCAUUUUGUGAAAUCGUAGACCAUAAAAAUAUAAUAAAAAUAAAAAUUUCCUCAUCGGAUUUGUGGUUACAAAACCACUAUUUCGAUAACCUUAAAUUUGGGUCAUUACAGUGGUAGUCAUCAUGAGAUAUAACCUUAAAAUUGUUAGUUCAAAUCUCUGGUGAGGAAAUUCUCUAACACAAGAACGGAACUCGAACAAAAAAAUAAGAAAUAGGGCAAGGCUCUAAGGUGUGUAUUAAGCCACUAUCUUUAAGAUUAUAUUCGUCCCCACCUAUCUUCGGUGUGCAAAUGAGUUUCAAGCAAAUUAACCUCGAUGAUACAAUGAAACCAAUGACUAUUUACGUUUUGCAUUGACAAUAAUAGUCCACUACGCACUGAGCAAUGCAUAAUAAAAACUCAAUUUCUACAAAGGAUUUCUGCAGCAAUACUUUAUAGAAUAAUCUAAUAAUAUUAGAAAAUGAAGGAAGGAAAGAAAGAAUAUUAAAAUUUGUUGGUGUGUUUUCCAAAUGAAAUCUCAUUCCUAUUUAUAGGAAUUUUCAUGUCUUUUCAUAGAGACAUCUUUCAUCAAUAGGUGUCUUUCUGAAUAAUAAUGUCUUUAAAGUAAACACAUAAUUAUUCAUUUAAUAUUAUAACUAUUCAAAUAGUUAUAAUUCUUUAUCAAAAAAUCAAAUAAUAUAAUCUUUUGAUUAAUUACACCCAUUCAUUUAUAGUUAUUAGAACACUAUAAAUAUUUAAAAAUGUUACAACAGAAUUGGGAGGUGAGGAUUAUGCAUACAUACAAGGUAAUAGAGUUGCUAAUACUACAGCCAAUCUGGCAAUUAACAAGCCCAUCGGAUUUCAUGUUUACAACAAUCCACCAGAUGAGAUAUUGCAGGUUCUUCAGGAUGAUGUGGAAGGUAAGGCUAUUCCAAGCUUUAUUGUGAUGCAGUUAAUUUCAUUUUGAUCUCUUAACUUUUCAAGAUUUUAGUCAUUGUAAUGCCUCAAAUUUAAGGUUUAAAUCCAUUAGUUUAUAGGGUCAUUCUUAAAAGUUCACAUUUCUAAAGAAAUAAUAACAUCAAAUUUACAACCCAAACUUGUGCAUUCAUAUUGUACUUGUAUAUUUGAUAGUAUUUUUUCCUUUUUCGUGUUGAGUAAUCCAACUUUAUCUAAUAUUACCUGGUCUAAACCCAUGUGCAUGCCCUCACAAAAUGCCAAACUUCAACGCAUUAUUGAAUCACCAGAUAAGAUGCAAAGGAAAAGACACUUUUUGAAUGGUGGAAAAUUUGAGUUCCUCAAAGAGAACAUAGCAUAUCUUUCUCCAUUUCAUUAUAUUUAUGCAGGCAUGUUGUUGGAACAUGAGAAACCAAAGCUUUAUAAUGUUCUAACGAAUAAAUAGUUCGGUUUUGCAGUUUUCGUGAAAUGAUGCAGCCGGUCGCAGCAAUAGUUCGUUCUUCAGAAUACAUUCCUAUUCCCCCCAACUCAAUAUGCUGUUAGAAAAGAGCUGAGAGUUGUUCUACAAUGACGAAACCUAGCUGUUUUCGAGAUUGUAAAAGAAGGUAGCUACAGAAAACUUGGAAAAUCUUGUGCCGUUUUGCUUUAGCACGAAGAUACGAGAAGUACUCUAGUAAGAAACUCAGUUUCCUAUUCCGUAUUUCAUGUUAUUUUGUAUUACUAUGUUCUGUACUUUAAGAGAAUUGCUCUUGGGAGUCAUUCUAUAGAUGUAAUGCAUCAAUUUGAUCUAAUAAUGAGUCAUUAACAUUAUGUUCUUGCUAAAUAACAUGAACACGAACAUGAACAGCAGUACAAGCAACCGGCCUCUUAUUCGGAACCUUUUUGUGAAUUCAUUUUAGGAGCAGAAAGAAAACAUUGGAGGCAAUCCAUCUAGGAUAUGCGAUCGGAAUUACUGAGUGCCAAGGUGUAUGAUCUCUUUCUGAGCACCCUCGAUGAACUUCGGAUUCAGUAGGGAACACAGAUCCUGUGUGUAUUAGGACCAGCUACCAUAUCAUGCCAAAGCAGAUCGGAGAGUGCCAUUGUCAACUCUCCCACUUUUCCUAUAAGGGAAAAUAAGCAGACUUUGGUAAGAACAUAUGCACUAAUCCGUCGUUGUUAAGCCAAAAAUCAGGAGGCGGACUAAUCAAGCAAGGCAAUAUUGUUACAUAUGCAAGGAAUAGAUGCACUCAAACGAUAAGUCAUGUUCGAUUCUACUAGAAAAAUAAUGUCUAAAGCAUGUUUGGAUGUAUUUUAAGGCUUUCGAAACAUUAGAUUGUACAUACCAUCUCCGAUGGGAUGUUCGUCCCACAUGAUGAUUGGCAAUAUCGGUAGCGUACUUCCUAUAUACAUAAUUUCUGCUGCACCUUUGGCUUCCAUGACGGUAAGAUUGGCAGUUUUGACACUUUUAAGACGCCCUUGCUUGACCAACUUAGGUGCUAAUUCAAGAAGCCUUUUUGCAGUACAUCCGCUUAGGAUCCUAUCGAAUGAAGGAAAAAUAAGUUCCUUAUCAUUGGUUAUAAAUGCGACAUUCACAUUAGGGCCCUCCGCAAUAAAACCAUCAUCGUCAACCCAAAUCGAAGCAUAUGCACCCUUGUCUUCAGCUUCCAUUAUUGAAAGAACAUUCGGCAAGUAAUUUACAUUCUUCAUUGUAGCAAACUGAGGUGCUUUCAUAGGGAUAGUCGAAGUUAUCACUUUAACCCCGUUUUUGCAUUGCGAGACAACGUCGGCAAUGACUACAGCGUAGAAUGCAGAAGUAGGGCAUUUGGCAGGAGAAAGCAAGAAAUUACCAGGACCGGCACUCAACCAGUACCGUAGAGUUCCUUCCUUGCACUGUGAUGCGGCGGUUAAUUGCACAAGAAUACUACGAAGAGUUGAUCGAGGAAAUGGAAGGGUGAUUCUUGCUUUCGAUGCCGACCGAAGGAAGCGAUCUAAAUGAGCAUCCAGCUCAUAGAGGUAACUACAAAAAUAGGAUAGGUUAUAUUAAGCUUUAUAAACAUAUAUUAACUAAUGCCUCAAAGAGAUAUCAUGAACUCGUGGGUUCAUCUAACAGGUUGGGGAUUCGAAUCUCGACACCUAUAACACCUCUCUCGAUCCCAAACUAUCGGUCUCCUUUGUACCGAAAAUAGGGAAACCAGGGACCUACCCAUCUAGAAUGACUGCUGUAUCGAAUACACCGUGGCCUCGAUGAACCAUGUGAUCAUCUAUGGGAAUUACCAUCAUGGCAGGGUCAAGAAUGAUCCCUCCGAAAACGCUGGAAUACAUAGCCGGAUAUGGUUUCUUCUUCACCGGACUCCACUUCUCGUGCAGCUUUUCG
RNAcentral lists this long non-coding RNA (4810 nucleotides) under Gossypium barbadense (sea-island cotton). RNAcentral's name for it is "long non-coding RNA (GBAR_LNC016668)". The record is from RNAcentral. Lineage: Eukaryota; Viridiplantae; Streptophyta; Magnoliopsida; Malvales; Malvaceae.